Molecule: ribosomal RNA, 861 nt
Filed under: uncultured marine bacterium
Lineage: Bacteria
Description: bacterial SSU rRNA
Rfam family: Bacterial small subunit ribosomal RNA
Source: RNAcentral
AGAGUUUGAUCCUGGCUCAGAACGAACGCUGGCGGCAGGCCUAACACAUGCAAGUCGAGCGCUCUCUUCGGAGGGAGCGGCGGACGGGUGAGUAACGCGUGGGAACGUGCCCUUCUCUAUGGAAUAGCCACUGGAAACGGUGAGUAAUACCAUAUACGCCCUUCGGGGGAAAGAUUUAUCGGAGAAGGAUCGGCCCGCGUUAGAUUAGGUAGUUGGUGGGGUAAUGGCCUACCAAGCCUACGAUCUAUAGCUGGUUUUAGAGGAUGAUCAGCCACACUGGGACUGAGACACGGCCCAGACUCCUACGGGAGGCAGCAGUGGGGAAUCUUAGACAAUGGGCGCAAGCCUGAUCUAGCCAUGCCGCGUGAGUGAUGAAGGCCUUAGGGUCGUAAAGCUCUUUCGCCAGAGAUGAUAAUGACAGUAUCUGGUAAAGAAACCCCGGCUAACUCCGUGCCAGCAGCCGCGGUAAUACGGAGGGGGUUAGCGUUGUUCGGAAUUACUGGGCGUAAAGCGCACGUAGGCGGAUUAGAAAGUUAGGGGUGAAAUCCCGGGGCUCAACCUCGGAACUGCCUCUAAAACUCCUAGUCUAGAGUUCGAGAGAGGUGAGUGGAAUUCCAAGUGUAGAGGUGAAAUUCGUAGAUAUUUGGAGGAACACCAGUGGCGAAGGCGGCUCACUGGCUCGAUACUGACGCUGAGGUGCGAAAGUGUGGGGAGCAAACAGGAUUAGAUACCCUGGUAGUCCACACCGUAAACGAUGAAUGCCAGUCGUCGGGUAGUAUACUGCUCGGUGACACACCUAACGGAUUAAGCAUUCCGCCUGGGGAGUACGGUCGCAAGAUUAAAACUCAAAGGAAUUGACGG